Long non-coding RNA from Thamnophis elegans (Western terrestrial garter snake), 944 nucleotides. RefSeq lists it as uncharacterized. Lineage: Eukaryota; Metazoa; Chordata; Lepidosauria; Squamata; Natricidae. The record is from RefSeq and is a predicted model, not a curated record. The transcript has 3 exons.
CUUUUCCUGUUCCGGGAAGGCUCGACGGAAUGCGAGUUGGAGCAUCUCUGAGUAACAUUUUAGGUUGGAAGACGUGAUUGAUCUACCUGGCGCCGCUAAAUGAACCCUGUUUUAGAUAUUGAGACCAGGCGAGAGAGAUAUUUUAGAAGUGAUUUGUCUUUGUCUGCGCCAACUCAGGAAGCUUAAACUGCCCAAGGAGCUGCUGAUACAGUUCUACAGAGGAAUUAUUGAGUUUGUCAUCUGCACCUCUAUAACAGACAACUCACUUCUCAAAUCUCUCUCAUUUUUAUAUAUUUUAGAAGUGAUUUGUCUUUGUCUGCUUCCUAGGGCUGAGAGAGAGUGACUGGCCCAUUAUGCCUGAAACAGGAUUAGAACUCAAGCCCUCUUUAUGGCUCAUUUGGAGAGACUUGUUUCUUCAUGCUCAGGAUCACCAACAUGAUCACCGAUGCCCAAUGAUGGAUAUGGCACAAGAAGAAGAAAGAAUAACAGAUCCGUCUUCUGUGCAUUUUAUACUGGAUUCCGAUGGGCUGGUCGUCUGGUAGUACUCUUAACACCACAAUUUAUCAUUAUCCAGAUAUGUGAACUUACCUUGACAGUUUCUUCCUCUGACCACCUGGUAUCCAUCUGGACACGCGCAGGAGUAUCUUCCUGGCUCAUUGACACACUGAUAUUGGCACAGGAAGUUAGAAGCUCUACAUUCAUCAACAUCUGCAAAACAGAGGCACUUUCUAAGCCAAUUAUUGAAGCUUCAGCAUCUGCUUUUACACUGAACUUGUUCCUUGCCUAUUAUCUUUGGUACUUGGGCUGCAAAAUACAAAUAGCUCUUUCUUCCUUUCUACUUUCUGACAGUUUUUGGAGGGAAAUUGCAUCUGCCUGCAAGAAUGAGGUGCAUGAACAGGAAUAGAAUCACUACUACCAAGUAGAAAGCAAAAAAAAAAAAAAAA